Molecule: ribosomal RNA, 483 nt
Filed under: uncultured bacterium
Lineage: Bacteria
Description: partial 16S ribosomal RNA
Rfam family: Bacterial small subunit ribosomal RNA
Source: RNAcentral
GACGAACGCUGGCGGCGUGCUUUACACAUGCAAGUCGAACGGUGAAGGUGGAGCUUGCUCCGCCGGAUCAGUGGCGAACGGGUGAGUAACACGUGGGCAACCUGCCCCUAACUUUGGGAUAACUACUCGAAAGAGUAGCUAAUACCGGAUAUGAAGUCUGUAGGCAUCUACGGACUUGGAGAGUUUUUCGGUUAGGGAUGGGCCCGCGGCCUAUCCGCUUGUUGGUGAGGUAGUGGCUCACCAAGGCGACGACGGGUAGCCGGCCUGAGAGGGCGACCGGCCACACUGGGACUGCGACACGGCCCAGACUCCUACGGGAGGCAGCAGUGGGGAAUAUUGCGCAAUGGGCGAAAGCCUGACGCAGCAACGCCGCGCGCGGGAUGAAGGCCUUCGGGUUGUAGACCGCUUUCAGCAGGGAAGAAGCGAAAGUGACGGUACCUGCAGAAGAAGCACCGGCUAACUACGUGCCAGCCGCCGCCGUAA